UACGUAGGGUGCAAGCGUUAAUCGGAAUUACUGGGCGUAAAGCGUGCGCAGGCGGUUUUGUAAGUCUGUCGUGAAAUCCCCCGGGCUCAACCUGGGAAUUGCGAUGGAGACUGCAAGGCUAGAAUCUGGCAGAGGGGGGUAGAAUUCCACGUGUAGCAGUGAAAUGCGUAGAGAUGUGGAGGAACACCGAUGGCGAAGGCAGCCCCCUGGGUCGAAGAUUGAC
This 223-nucleotide ribosomal RNA is filed under the name uncultured bacterium. Its description in RNAcentral is "partial 16S ribosomal RNA". It matches the Rfam family "Bacterial small subunit ribosomal RNA", at positions 524 to 744 of the family's 1533-position model. The record is from RNAcentral.